AGCAGGAAGCACUCAGAGCAUCAAGACCCUCCACCAGAGCACCACUUCCUUUAUAGUUUAGCCACCACCACUGCUAGUAGAAUAGCCGAGAAGGCGCUUAGUUUGCCAAGAAUUUGAAGGUAAUUUUCUAGUUGUGUGUAAUCCCUUCGGGGCCUCCUGAAAGGGAAAACCAUAUGUAAUUGUUGAAAUGAUGUAGUUUCUUGGUUUCACUUAGUGCUUUUAUUUAUGAAUUUAUGGGACGGGUUUUUAUGCUAGGGAUCCUAUAGGAGAAACAUCUGCGUGCGUAGUUCUCUGUGUAGCCCAGAGUGGCAUUUCAAUGAGAACCUUAUGGCCGUAGAGAAGUGUUCCCUUCGGGUGGAACUGCCUGGGAAGACGAUUGGAAUUUACCCCAUAAAUUUGUAAUUAAAACUGCUAAGUGAAUGUAACUAGCUACAUCUGAUACAACAUAAUGAUAAAUAUGGUGAGUACUGAGUAGGAUUUUACACCACUACGUACAUUCGUCGGUUGAUUUGUUGCCCUCGCCAGCCUAGAAUAGAUCCUGUAUCAAAUAAAUAAUCUAGUUAGAACGUGAAGAUAAUCAUAUUGAAUUAAAUACUAUUCCAAAUAGUGUUUUAAAUAGUAAAGCACUUUCGUGAAUAGUGCCCUACCUAGUGAAUAGUAAAUACUAUUUAAGAUAAAAAUAGUAAAUACUAUUUAAGAUAAAAAGUACGUCAUGUCUACCACUUUCACCUAAUCACAUAUUAACCUAAUCAAAAUCUUAAUUAAUAUUGAUUAGAAUAUAUUAGUAAAAUUUUAUAUCAUAUAUAUAUGUAUGUAUGUAUGUAUUGACCCACUUUUUAAAAUUAGAUGUGGCAAAUGCGGGAUGAACUCCUACCACAUAAUCGCAUACGAGCUAUUCUAGAGGAAUUGGUGGGAUUCUUUCUUCACCACGUCAUACAUAUAGCCGAAGAAUACCAUGUUAAAAUUGAUAUAGACCUUAGAUGUUAAGGUUUGUAAGAGAUCUUAUAUUGUAUAUAUGUAGCUAGUAGAGUCGGACAGAUAUAUGAAAACUUGUUGUUCGACCAAUCUCAUGGAGAAAGAGAAGUCACUUCUCUCUGUAUAUGUUCAUGACGAUCUUGUGUAUUUAAUGGUUUCUUCAUUUGCUUACUGGCUAGUGUGUCGAGUUCUCUUUAUAUGUACAAUAGCUAGCGUCACCCAAGCACGGAGAUAAAGAGAGGUCACUUCUCUCUAUUAGCUAGCUAACACAAUAUAUGAAACCCCUAAAUUAACCCUCCAAAACCCCUAACCCCCGUCCUUUAAAAACAAAAAAACCAUAUCUCCUACCAGCUGCUGACGCGUGGAGGUCUUUUGGUCCCGGUUGGUAUUACCAACCGGGACUAAAGGUCCUCCUACCUAGGCACUCCGCAGCGGCCACAUGGAGCCCCUUCUGUCCUAGUUCACUCAUAAGCAAACCGGAACUUAAAGUUUUAGGCUUUAGUCCCGAUCCUUUAGUUCCGGUUCUAGAACUGGAGCUAAAUGAUGUCUGAAACCGGGACAAAUGGGUCGUUUUCUAAAAGUGUCUGCAUUAAGGCAAAUGACCACACGGACUGAUCUCGACUACAUCAAGCCGAACUACACCGGGCCGAACCACGACAUUAAGCUGUACGACCAUAACAAACCACAAGUCAAGAUCAUCGCCGAGCACACUACGAGAAGCAAUAUCGACAUGCAUUGCCCACACACCAAGACGGUGUGGAACGGGAUGCAACCUUCAUCGACUUCUCGGGCGCGACACCACAUCGACACUUGGUUGCGGCGAGGGACGUCUUCAAGCGACACAUUAUCGUUGACACGCCGCUGCGACGCCAUCGCCUACACUUCAUCACUAAGGUCUUCAUCAACGUGGUCUUCACCAACAUCUUCGUCAACACACCGCCGCUGUCUUGUCCACAAGAUGGGCACCUAGCAUCCUCUGACAGACUUUUCUGCAAGACGCGACCAUGACGACGGCAAUGACCGCGUCACGAUGUCGGCAUCGACCGCGUCAUCCACGACAACACAACUGCAUCGACACGGCGUCACUACAGUGACGACCGUACACGACCACACGGUUCUGGCAAAACCGAUAUGUGCUCGAUGGGCUUCCUCCGGUCUUCGCAAAAUCGGCGGACUCGUCGCCGACGGCACCCUCUGAUAUCUGCAAGGUGCAUCAUCCACGAUCCGCGUCGUCAGCAGCGUUCACGCCACUCCCGCUGUGACUGCGGGAGGGAAGAGGGGAGAGACAAGGAAGACACCAGAAGGGGACGCAGUCACCGCCCUACGUGCUGACCCAUCAGAAACGUAGUUGACGAUGGCGCAGCGAAGAAGACGACAAAAGCAGAAGACUUCAAAUUCAGUCGUACUCGUCCGCUUCACUCCCGCUACGACUUGAGGCGGAAUGUUAGAAUAUAAAUAUGCUUAGUUAGAGAUAAGGCGAGAGAUGGAGAUAGAAUUAGUUUUAAUAUACUAUGACUUGUCUUGUACUUCAAGUCACCACACGUUGUACUCUAUAUAUACCCCUACAAGGGUCAGAUCAAUAAUACAACACAAUAUCCAUUCAUCCUA
Molecule: long non-coding RNA, 2583 nt
Organism: Triticum aestivum (bread wheat)
Lineage: Eukaryota; Viridiplantae; Streptophyta; Magnoliopsida; Poales; Poaceae
Exons: 2
Source: RefSeq, a predicted model, not a curated record